CCUACGGGAGGCAGCAGUGGGGGAUAUUGCACAAUGGGGGGAACCCUGAUGCAGCGACGCCGCGUGGGUGAAGGAGCGUUUCGGCGCGUAAAGCCCUAUCGGCAGGGAAGAAGGAGGACGGUACCUGACUAAGAAGCCCCGGCUAACUACGUGCCAGCAGCCGCGGUAAUACGUAGGGGGCAAGCGUUAUCCGGAUUUACUGGGUGUAAAGGGGGCGCAGACGGCAGCGCAAGCCAGGAGUGAAAGCCCGGGGCCCAACCCCGGGACUGCGCUUGGAACUGCGCGGCUGGAGUGCAGGAGGGGCAGGCGGAAUUCCUGGUGUAGCGGUGAAAUGCGUAGAUAUCAGGAGGAACACCGGUGGCGAAGGCGGACUGCUGGACUGCGACUGACGUUGAGGCCCGAAAGCGUGGGGAGCAAACAGGAUUAGAUACCCUGGUAGUC
This 441-nucleotide ribosomal RNA is filed under the name uncultured bacterium. RNAcentral describes it as "partial 16S ribosomal RNA". It matches the Rfam family "Bacterial small subunit ribosomal RNA", at positions 338 to 795 of the family's 1533-position model. The record is from RNAcentral.